CACAACCUCCCUUUAAUGAUCAUGCUGUUUAUUAAGAUACCGUUAUUAUUAUUACCUUUAUUAUGAUACAUUGUUUCUUUGCUUUCUUGUUCACCCACAACUAUCUGUCAUCUCAACCACUUUUUCAAAUUUUUGGGGUGCCAUAGAAUCAGAAUUGCUGUCUUUGCUUAACAAAAAAACAAGUUCUUGUUUCAGACUGGUUGUUAAAAAUCUUUACCAAAAUAGAAUAAAUAUCAAACCAUAAAAGUUAAUGUGUGGUCCAGGUGAGAGGCAUUGCCCACUCUGUAGAAACUAGGGAUGUCCAUGAGGCCAAACCUGAUUCUGCCUGCAACCUAAUCUCUUAGUCACAUGUAAACUCUGUAAAGCCACUGGGGUUUUUAGUGCUGUCAGUUGGUCCACAGUCCAGAUGUAGAAAUUGAAGCCAUAAAAACAAAUCCACUCCUGUCAUCACUUUACAAGCAAUUGUACAGUGCCCAUGGAAAUGAAAAUACUAUCUUAUAAACCAUAACACUGGAGAUUGUGUGUGAAAUAGUCCUGAUAAGAUGUGCUGAACCAUGACAGGGUAAAAUUAUGAUAGUGGCUUGUCCUUAUUUUUUUUCUUGCCCAUUCAGAGACACUGGGGGAACAGCUGUUUUCAGGAUGCACUGAGUGGUCACUUCUAAAAAUCAGGCCCUGAUAAAGAUUCUGCCCUUUUCCAGAUAGGGUCUAGAUCCCACCACAAAGGUCAUGAAUAUUCCUUACUUUGCUCUUCCAUCAAACUCCUUCUGCUUCUGAGGGUGAGGCCGCAGAAUGUAUCAGAAGAUAUAGCAUGGAGUAAACCCUGCAACACAGCAUCAUGCAGAAAGUUAUUUGCACCCAGAAAAGGCUCUCCAACAGACCAGAGUUCAACAGUUUUGGAAGAAAUCUUAAUUGAAUGUCCUGAUGGAAAAUACAGGUUUUCAUCCCCCCAGAUUAGAACUGUCAUUUCUUUUGUUGUCCUCUAUAAUUUCUGUUCUAUGACCUAUUCAUGACCAUUUUGUCCUCAGCACUGUUGUUUUCUACUUUAAAAUAAAUUCCAAC
RNAcentral lists this long non-coding RNA (1059 nucleotides) under Parus major (Great Tit). Its description in RNAcentral is "lncRNA (ENSPMJG00000016091.1)". Lineage: Eukaryota; Metazoa; Chordata; Aves; Passeriformes; Paridae. The record is from RNAcentral.